This 326-nucleotide ribosomal RNA is filed under the name Serratia sp. DIV023. RNAcentral's name for it is "bacterial SSU rRNA". It matches the Rfam family "Bacterial small subunit ribosomal RNA", at positions 1074 to 1399 of the family's 1533-position model. Lineage: Bacteria; Pseudomonadati; Pseudomonadota; Gammaproteobacteria; Enterobacterales; Yersiniaceae. The record is from RNAcentral.
GUUAGGUUAAGUCCCGUAACGAGAGCAAACCUUAUCCUUUGUUGCCAGCACGUAAUGGCGGGAACUCAAAGGAGACUGCCGGUGAUAAACCGGAGGAAGGUGGGGAUGACGUCAAGUCAUCAUGGCCCUUACGAGUAGGGCUACACACGUGCUACAAUGGCGUAUACAAAGAGAAGCGAACUCGCGAGAGCAAGCGGACCUCAUAAAGUACGUCGUAGUCCGGAUCGGAGUCUGCAACUCGACUCCGUGAAGUCGGAAUCGCUAGUAAUCGUAGAUCAGAAUGCUACGGUGAAUACGUUCCCGGGCCUUGUACACACCGCCCGUCA